CUCCUCACCUGCUUCAUUCUCUUGGGAGCUAUACAAGCAGUACCCACCAGCUGCCCUGAUGGAGAAGGCUCCACUGUGACACUAGAGAAAAGCUGGGCUGAGAAAGCAGUGACUACAAACAACCAGGUACUUCUGAAGAGCCAGAAAGUCAAGUGAAGGAAGACUAUGGCACCUGGGUGAAAUCACCUGUGUUCUAUGGCUGCCAGAACAUCAGCUGGAAUAAAUAAAUAGCACUAUGGUAUGUUUACCUUGGGC
This is a long non-coding RNA of Balaenoptera acutorostrata (minke whale), 255 nucleotides long. RefSeq lists it as uncharacterized. The transcript is spliced from 3 exons. Lineage: Eukaryota; Metazoa; Chordata; Mammalia; Artiodactyla; Balaenopteridae. The record is from RefSeq and is a predicted model, not a curated record.